CCACUACAGGAAUGUGAAUGCCGCACUCGCACAGCUUUGCCUGGAGAGGGGCUUCGCUAUUCUGGAUAGCCUUGUGGACAGCUGGCCUGGAUUCCUGAGCAGGGAUGGUGUCCACCCCAGCCGGCUUGGCAACAAGGUGCUGGCAGACUUCCUGCACCGGGAGGCCUGUGCCUUGUCCACCCAUCUAGAGAGGAGACGCAUCCAACAGUCCUACAAGGAGUCCAAGGCAUCUGCAUAGAGUGGGUGGGCUCGGCAGGAGCACUUUGCCAUCAACUUGGAAGUCGAUUUUCCUGCACUUGGUCCAGUACAUUGUGGACUCACCCUGUUGUCAAGUCAUCAGGAAGUUGGAUGAUGCUGUCUUCUUCCAGCUAAAUUAUGCAACUACUAAGAAGGGGAUCAGAAUUCUAUUUUGUAGCAGUUAUUUUACAAAUAAAUGUUAGUAAAAUUUUU
This 450-nucleotide long non-coding RNA is filed under the name Rhipicephalus microplus (southern cattle tick). RNAcentral's name for it is "uncharacterized LOC119175129". Lineage: Eukaryota; Metazoa; Arthropoda; Arachnida; Ixodida; Ixodidae. The record is from RNAcentral.